UGUGAUUAUAGCAAGAAGUACAUCCAGGGAAAACUGUCACUUAUUUCUUCUUUAACUUAUGGUGGAAACAGAACAGCUGUUUUGAAGAUUGCCCUACAAGAACAAGAAAAUUCAAAUUCAGAGAUCAACACCAUCAAUGUAUUAUUUUUUGGAAAAUUAGCAAAGGACUGUGCAAAAGUUUUCUAUG
This is a long non-coding RNA of Neomonachus schauinslandi (Hawaiian monk seal), 187 nucleotides long. RefSeq lists it as uncharacterized. The record is from RefSeq and is a predicted model, not a curated record. NCBI's taxonomy places the organism in Eukaryota, Metazoa, Chordata, Mammalia, Carnivora, Phocidae. The transcript is spliced from 3 exons.